AGUGGAUGGGGAGCAACCUAGUUGUGCGUGUGUAAAGGUAGUGCCAAGAAAAGCGGUGAUCAUGAUGAAAAUCAAUUCCCGGUACCCGAAACCGACACAGGUGGGCAAGUAGAGAAUACUAAGGGGCGCGAGGUAACUCUCUCCAAGGAACUCGGCAAAAUGACCCCGUAACUUAGGGAGAAGGGGUGCCACCGAGAGGUGGUCGCAGUGAAGAGGCCCAGGCGACUGUUUAGCAAAAACAUAGGUCUCUGCAAACUCGAAAGAGGAGGUAUAGGGGCUGACGCCUGCCCAGUGCCGGAAGGUUAAAGAAGUUGGUCAGUCUUAGGAUAAAGCUAGCGACUGAAGCCCCGGUGAACGGCGGCCGUAACUAUAACGGUCCUAAGGUAGCGAAAUUCCUUGUCGGGUAAGUUCCGACCCGCACGAAAGGCGUAACGAUCUGGGCGCUGUCUCGGAGAGAGGCUCGGCGAAAUAGGAUUGUCUGUGAAGAUACGGACUACCUGCAUUUGGACAGAAAGACCCUAUGAAGCUUUACUAUAGCUUGGAAUUGUGUUCGGGCUUCCUGUGCGCAGGAUAGGUGGGAGGCGAAGAAGGUAUUCUUGUGGGGAUACUGGAGCCAACGGUGAGAUACCACUCUCAGGAGGCUAGAAUUCUAACUUAAUUAAGGACAGUUUCAGGUGGGUAGUUUGACUGGGGCGGUCGCCUCCAAAAAGGUAACGGAGGCGUACAAAGGUUCCCUCAGACUGGUUGGAAAUCAGUCGCAGAGUGCAAAGGCAGAAGGGAGCUUGACUGCGAGAAGUACAGUUCGAGCAGGGUGGAAACACGGUCUUAGUGAUCCGACGGUGCUGUGUGGAAGGGCCGUCGCUCAACGGAUAAAAGUUACUCUAGGGAUAACAGGCUGAUCUCCCCCAAGAGUUCACAUCGACGGGGAGGUUUGGCACCUCGAUGUCGGCUCAUCGCAACCUGGGGCGGAAGUACGUCCCAAGGGUUGGGCUGUUCGCCCAUUAAAGCGGUACGUGAGCUGGGUUCAGAACGUUGAGACAGUUCGGUCCAUAUCCGAUGUAGGCGUGAGAAUAUUGAGAGGAGCCUUCCUUAGUACGAGAGGACCGGGAAGGACGCACCGCUGGUGUACCUGUUAUGAUGCCAAUUGUAAACGCAGGGUAGCCAAGUGCGGAGAGGAUAACCGCUGAAAGCAUCUAAGUGGGAAGCCCACCUCAAGAUGAGUAUUCUGGUGUAAGGUCACGGGAAGACGACCCGUAAAUAGGCACGAGGUGGAAGUGCAGAGAUGUAUGAAGCCGAAGUGUACUAAUAGACCGUCGGCUUGAC
RNAcentral lists this ribosomal RNA (1323 nucleotides) under metagenome. Its description in RNAcentral is "bacterial LSU rRNA". It matches the Rfam family "Bacterial large subunit ribosomal RNA", at positions 1561 to 2925 of the family's 2925-position model. The record is from RNAcentral.